RNAcentral lists this small RNA (105 nucleotides) under Octodon degus (degu). RNAcentral describes it as "TUC338 (ENSODEG00000022571.1)". Lineage: Eukaryota; Metazoa; Chordata; Mammalia; Rodentia; Octodontidae. The record is from RNAcentral.
AGGUGGGCAGGACAGGUACAGCACAGGCAGUAACAGUGAGAGCUUUCCCUACGCCUCCCUGUCCACGUGCCAGAACCCUGACCUGGGGACCACCUCUAGACGCCU